This 275-nucleotide ribosomal RNA is filed under the name uncultured bacterium. RNAcentral describes it as "partial 16S ribosomal RNA". It matches the Rfam family "Bacterial small subunit ribosomal RNA", at positions 338 to 611 of the family's 1533-position model. The record is from RNAcentral.
CCUACGGGCGGCUGCAGUAGGGAAUAUUGGUCAAUGGGCGCAAGCCUGAACCAGCCAUGCCGCGUGCAGGAUGAAGGCCCUCAGGGUCGUAAACUGCUUUUGUACGGGAACAAAAAGCUCCUGCGGGAGCCAUUGAGGGUACCGUAAGAAUAAGCACCGGCUAACUCCGUGCCAGCAGCCGCGGUAAUACGGAGGGUGCAAGCGUUAUCCGGAUUUACUGGGUUUAAAGGGUGCGUAGGCGGCUUUUUAAGUCAGUGGUGAAAGCCUAGCGCUUA